GGAAAAGCCACCGCUGCUGAGAAAGGCAGCUGUGCCUGGGCCCCGCAGGUCACACUGGAGUCCUCACCUCCAUCUCUGCAUUCUGGUGCAUUUGGAAGAGGAUUUCUAGAGGUGGGAGAGGAGAUGUAACUUCCCCCACCUCCUUCGCAUCUUCUAACAGUUGCAGCCUCCUCUGCUUUGCGCAUUCACAGGGAGGAGCAUGGGCAGCACCUGCAUGGGUGGCACACAGCCUCAGCCUGCAGGAGCAUACACACCCCAACAGCACUCGUUCUGCAGCUGUGGCCUGCACCUUCCUCAACCCCUGGCCCCUCAUCUAGGCUGUUACAGGGGAACUGGAAUCCACCCGGCUCAGGGCCCAGGUACUUCCGCAAGAGGCUGUUGCCCUAAGGUAAGCCCAUCCUGAGACAGGUGAUGAAGACAUGGCAAGCCUUCCAGAAGCUGCUGUGUGUGUGUGUGUGUGUGUGUGUGUGUGUGUGUGUUUCAGACUCGGUAGGAAAGGAUGGGCCAUUGACAAGAAUAACACAGACCAGCAGGCAGAGCAGGCAUCACAGGAGACGCCCUAAAGGACAAUAAGGAAGCAGGCUUGUGUGCAGCUGGGCCUGGCCUCCCUGGUGUGAACUGACUGGCUGGCACCAGGCAAGGUAGGCCGGACCUAGGGUGUGGUGGCUCAUGAGGCCAUUAGAGCAUCUGUCAGGCCCAGCACCCAGGGCUUGUGCAGUGGGGCAGGCCCUACCCUUGCAACCGUGCAGGGAGAGGGUGAACUCAAUCCAGAGCACUUCCUUCUUAGGGGGCCACAUGUCCGUUGUGAUUUCAGGGAUUUGAGCACCUGCUUUUUCUGGCAUAUAUUCUGUGGUCUUGUGGACACAGUAUUGGCUGUGGCCCAGGCUCUGCCCUGGUUCUCUUCCCGACAGACUGUGUGGCCAUGGGCAAGUCGCAUCACUUCUCUGGGCUGCCACAUCCUCUUUGAUAAGACGAUGAGGUUGGGCUAGAUGACCUCUAGAAUCCCUUCCGACUUGCUGUCAGAUUGCUCUAGGAUCCAAGAUUCGUUUCUAAGACAAUAUUGAGAGGCAAUACGGCCUAUAUGGCUGGAUCCUGUGAGACGGGGGUUUACACACAUUCUGAUGCUGUACAAUCUUCACGUUAAAAGCAAAUACUGGAAUAUGGCAUUCCUCAAAAAAAUUAAACGUAAAAUUACCAUAUGAUCCAGCAAUUCUACUUCCUAAUACAUAUGCAGAUGAAUUGGAAGCAGAGUGUCAAACAGAUAGUUGUACACCCAUGUUCAUAGCAGCAUUACUCACAAUAACCAAAGGAUGGAAACAAACCAAGUAUCCACCAACAGAUGAAUGGAUAAAAAAAAGUGACAUAUCACAAAGGAAUGUGAUUCAACCUUAAAAAGGAAGGACAUUCUGAUACAUGCUACAACAUGGAUGGACCUGGAGGACAAUGUGUUGAGUGAAAUAAGCCAGAUACAAAAGGUCAAAUACUGUAUGAUUCCGCUUACAUGAGUCAUCACCUUCCUAGAGACAUGAAGUAGAAAGGUGGCUGCCAGGGACUGGGGCACUCACUGGGUAAUCGGAAGUUACUUCUUCAUGGAUGCAGAUUUUCACCUUGGGAAGAUGAAAAAUGUUCUGAAAAUGGUGCUGGAGGUUGCACAACAAUGUGAAUGUAUUUAAUGUCACUGAAAUUUACACUUAAAAAUGGUUAAAACUUUAUGGUAUGUAUAUUUACCACAGUACAAAAAGCAUGGCCGGGUGUGGUGGCUCAUGCCUGUAAUCCCAACACUUUGGGAGGCCGAGGCGGGCGGAUCACUUGAGGUCGGGAGUUUGAGAUCGGCCUGGCCAACAUGGUGAAACCCUGUCUCCACUAAAAAUACAAGAAUUAGUUGGGUGUGGUGGUGCACGCCUGUAAUCCCAGCUACUCGGGAGGCUGAGGCAGGAGAAUGGCUGGAACCUGGGAGGUGGAGGUUACAGUGAGCCGAGAUCAUGCUACUGAACUCUAGCCCCUGGGUGACAGAGCGGGACUCUGUCUCAAACAAACAAACAAAAAACAAACUCCAAAACCAAAAAACAAACAAAAAACCCAAAACAAAAAACAAACCGAAAUGCAAAUACUAGGAUGUUUAUGUAUCUUAACAUGUUAAAUUUAGUAUAAGAAAUAAUUGUAAAUCAUAAUUUGUGCUGGCAUAUAGCCCUCUUGUUUGAUAUGAGUGAAACUAAUCAUUGAAUAAUUAAUUUGAAAAAUUAAAGUGGGAAA
Molecule: long non-coding RNA, 2253 nt
Filed under: Homo sapiens (human)
Lineage: Eukaryota; Metazoa; Chordata; Mammalia; Primates; Hominidae
Description: non-protein coding lnc-RPP40-3:3
Source: RNAcentral